Molecule: ribosomal RNA, 468 nt
Filed under: uncultured bacterium
Lineage: Bacteria
Description: partial 16S ribosomal RNA
Rfam family: Bacterial small subunit ribosomal RNA
Source: RNAcentral
GACGAACGCUGGCGGCGUGCUUAACACAUGCAAGUCGAACGGAAAGGCCCUGCUUUUGUGGGGUGCUCGAGUGGCGAACGGGUGAGUAACACGUGAGUAACCUGCCCUUGACUUUGGGAUAACUUCAGGAAACUGGGGCUAAUACCGGAUAGGAGCUCCUGCUGCAUGGGGGGGGUUGGAAAGUUUCGGCGGUUGGGGAUGGACUCGCGGCUUAUCAGCUUGUUGGUGGGGUAGUGGCUUACCAAGGCUUUGACGGGUAGCCGGCCUGAGAGGGUGACCGGCCACAUUGGGACUGAGAUCCGGCCCAGACUCCUACGGGAGGCAGCAGUGGGGAAUAUUGCACAAUGGGCGGAAGCCUGAUGCAGCAGCGCCGCGUGCGGGAUGACGGCCUUCGGGUUGUAAACCGCUUUCGCCUGUGACGAAGCGUGAGUGACGGUAAUGGGUAAAGAAGCACCGGCUAACUACGUG